AGAGUUUGAUCCUGGCUCAGAUUGAACGCUGGCGGCAUGCUUUACACAUGCAAGUCGGACGGCAGCACAGAGAAGCUUGCUUCUUGGGUGGCGAGUGGCGAACGGGUGAGUAAUAUAUCGGAACGUACCGAGUAAUGGGGGAUAACUAAUCGAAAGAUUAGCUAAUACCGCAUAUUCUCUGAGGAGGAAAGCAGGGGACCUUCGGGCCUUGCGUUAUUCGAGCGGCCGAUAUCUGAUUAGCUAGUUGGUGGGGUAAAGGCCUACCAAGGCGACGAUCAGUAGCGGGUCUGAGAGGAUGAUCCGCCACACUGGGACUGAGACACGGCCCAGACUCCUACGGGAGGCAGCAGUGGGGAAUUCUGGACAAUGGGCGCAAGCCUGAUCCAGCCAUGCCGCGUGUCUGAAGAAGGCCUUCGGGUUGUAAAGGACUUUUGUCAGGGAAGAAAAGGCUGUUGCUAAUAUCGACAGCUGAUGACGGUACCUGAAGAAUAAGCACCGGCUAACUACGUGCCAGCAGCCGCGGUAAUACGUAGGGUGCGAGCGUUAAUCGGAAUUACUGGGCGUAAAGCGAGCGCAGACGGUUACUUAAGCAGGAUGUGAAAUCCCCGGGCUCAACCUGGGAACUGCGUUCUGAACUGGGUGACUAGAGUGUGUCAGAGGGAGGUAGAAUUCCACGUGUAGCAGUGAAAUGCGUAGAGAUGUGGAGGAAUACCGAUGGCGAAGGCAGCCUCCUGGGAUAACACUGACGUUCAUGCUCGAAAGCGUGGGUAGCAAACAGGAUUAGAUACCCUGGUAGUCCACGCCCUAAAC
Molecule: ribosomal RNA, 810 nt
Filed under: uncultured bacterium
Lineage: Bacteria
Description: bacterial SSU rRNA
Rfam family: Bacterial small subunit ribosomal RNA
Source: RNAcentral